AUUGAACGCUGGCGGAAUGCUUUACACAUGCAAGUCGAACGGCAGCACGGACUUCGGUCUGGUGGCGAGUGGCGAACGGGUGAGUAAUGUAUCGGAACGUGCCCAAUCGUGGGGGAUAACGUAGUGAAAAUUACGCUAAUACCGCAUACGAUCUAUGGGUGAAAGCGGGGGAUCGCAAGACCUCGCGCGAUUGGAGCGGCCGAUAUCAGAUUAGGUAGUUGGUGGGGUAAAGGCCCACCAAGCCAACGAUCUGUAGCUGGUCUGAGAGGACGACCAGCCACACUGGAACUGAGACACGGUCCAGACUCCUACGGGAGUCAGCAGUGGGGAAUUUUGGACAAUGGGCGAAAGCCUGAUCCAGCCAUUCCGCGUGCAGGAUGAAGGCCCUCGGGUUGUAAACUGCUUUUGUACAGAACGAAAAGGUUUCUACUAAUACUAGGAGCUCAUGACGGUACUGUAAGAAUAAGCACCGGCUAACUACGUGCCAGCAGCCGCCGUAA
Molecule: ribosomal RNA, 500 nt
Filed under: uncultured bacterium
Lineage: Bacteria
Description: partial 16S ribosomal RNA
Rfam family: Bacterial small subunit ribosomal RNA
Source: RNAcentral